GGGGUUGUGGCUCAGUGGUAGAGUGCUCGCCUAGCAUGUGCGAGGCCCUGGGUUCCAUCCUCAGCACCACA
RNAcentral lists this transfer RNA (71 nucleotides) under Marmota monax (woodchuck). Its description in RNAcentral is "tRNA.Ala". It matches the Rfam family "tRNA". Rfam says of the family: Transfer RNA (tRNA) molecules are approximately 80 nucleotides in length. Their secondary structure includes four short double-helical elements and three loops (D, anti-codon, and T loops). Further hydrogen bonds mediate the characteristic L-shaped molecular structure. tRNAs have two regions of fundamental functional importance: the anti-codon, which is responsible for specific mRNA codon recognition, and the 3' end, to which the tRNAs corresponding amino acid is attached (by aminoacyl-tRNA synthetases). tRNAs cope with the degeneracy of the genetic code in two manners: having more than one tRNA (with a specific anti-codon) for a particular amino acid; and 'wobble' base-pairing, i.e. permitting non-standard base-pairing at the 3rd anti-codon position. Lineage: Eukaryota; Metazoa; Chordata; Mammalia; Rodentia; Sciuridae. The record is from RNAcentral.